This 340-nucleotide unclassified non-coding RNA is filed under the name soil metagenome. RNAcentral's name for it is "partial contains 5.8S ribosomal RNA, internal transcribed spacer 2, and large subunit ribosomal RNA". The stretch from base 1 to 120 matches the Rfam family "5.8S ribosomal RNA", at positions 35 to 154 of the family's 154-position model. The record is from RNAcentral.
GAUGAAGAACGUAGCGAAAUGCGAUAAGUAAUGUGAAUUGCAGAAUUCAGUGAAUCAUCGAAUCUUUGAACGCAACUUGCGCCCUCUGGUAUUCCGGAGGGCAUGCCUGUUUGAGUGUCAUGUAGACUCAAUCCCUCGGGUUUCUGAGGAGGUUGGAUUUGGGUGCUUGCCUUCUGGCUCGCCUUAAAGGACUUAGCAGGAUAGCACUGUAGUCGACGUAAUAAGUCUCGUCGGUGAAAGUGUGAUGUCUGCUUACAGAUUGCCCUUGGGCACUUUUGACUCUGACCUCAAAUCAGGUAGGACUACCCGCUGAACUUAAGCAUAUCAAUAAGCGGAAGGA